AGUUUGAUCCUGGCUCAGAUUGAACGCUGGCGGCAUGCGUAACACAUGCAAGUCGAACGGUGUUUGGUGCUUGCACCAGACAUAGUGGCGGACGGGUGAGUAAUGCGUAGGAAUCUGUCUUAGAGAGGGGGACAACCCGAGGAAACUUGGGCUAAAACCGCAUAUUCUCGAGAGAGGAAAGCAGGGGACCGGAAACGGCCUUGUGCUCUAAGGUGAGCCUACGUCGGAUUAGCUAGUUGGUAGGGUAAAAGCCUACCAAGGCGAUGAUCUGUAGCUGGUCUGAGAGGACGGACAGCCACACUGGGACUGAGACACGGCCCAGACUCCUACGGGAGGCAGCAGUGGGGAAUAUUGGACAAUGGGGGGAACCCUGAUCCAGCGAUGCCGCGUGUGUGAAGAAGGCCUGCGGGUUGUAAAGCACUUUCAGUGGGAAAGAGAAGCGUCUUGUGAAUAAUGGGACGUGGAGACGUUACUCACAGAAGAAGCACCGGCUAACUCUGUG
RNAcentral lists this ribosomal RNA (502 nucleotides) under uncultured bacterium. Its description in RNAcentral is "bacterial SSU rRNA". It matches the Rfam family "Bacterial small subunit ribosomal RNA", at positions 10 to 507 of the family's 1533-position model. The record is from RNAcentral.